RNAcentral lists this ribosomal RNA (376 nucleotides) under uncultured microorganism. RNAcentral's name for it is "bacterial SSU rRNA". It matches the Rfam family "Archaeal small subunit ribosomal RNA", at positions 330 to 708 of the family's 1478-position model. The record is from RNAcentral.
GUGCAGCAGGCGCGAAACCUCCGCAAUGCGGGAAACCGCGACGGGGGACCCCGAGUGCCGUGGCAACGCCACGGCUUUUCCGGAGUGUAAAAAGCUCCGGGAAUAAGGGCUGGGCAAGGCCGGUGGCAGCCGCCGCGGUAAUACCGGCGGCCCGAGUGGUGGCCGCUAUUAUUGGGCCUAAAGCGUCCGUAGCCGGGCCCGUAAGUCCCUGGCGAAAUCCCACGGCUCAACCGUGGGGCUUGCUGGGGAUACUGCGGGUCUUGGGACCGGGAGAGGCGGGGGGUACCCCUGGGGUAGGGGUGAAAUCCUAUAAUCCCAGGGGGACCGCCAGUGGCGAAGGCGCCCCGCUGGAACGGGUCCGACGGUGAGGGGCGAA